GAUGAAGAACGCAGCGAAAUGCGAUAAGUAAUGUGAAUUGCAGAAUUCAGUGAAUCAUCGAAUCUUUGAACGCACAUUGCGCCCGCCAGUAUUCUGGCGGGCAUGCCUGUUCGAGCGUCAUUUCAACCAUCAAGCCCCAGGCUUGUGUUGGGGACCUGCGGCUGCCGCAGGCCCUGAAAACCAGUGGCGGGCUCGCUGUCACACCGGGCGUAGUAGAUUUUAUCUCGCUCAGGGCGUGCUGCGGGUUCCGGCCGUUAAAAAGCCUUUUUUACCCAAGGUUGACCUCGGAUCAGGUAGGAAGACCCGCUGAACUUAAGCAUAUCGAUAAGCGGAGGA
RNAcentral lists this unclassified non-coding RNA (336 nucleotides) under soil metagenome. Its description in RNAcentral is "partial contains 5.8S ribosomal RNA, internal transcribed spacer 2, and large subunit ribosomal RNA". The stretch from base 1 to 120 matches the Rfam family "5.8S ribosomal RNA", at positions 35 to 154 of the family's 154-position model. The record is from RNAcentral.